GUACUCUGAAGGCUCCUGACCCCCAGAUGAGCAUCCUUGUGUCCGUUAACUUCUGUGUUUAUGAACAGGUGAGGCCAGAGACAGGCAGACAGCAGAUGUAUUGCAGGGAGCUGGAUGACAUGGCCCUUGGAACCUGUGCACAUGCCUGCCUUUCUGAUGCACGUCCAUGUUUUCUCUGCACCUCCCCGGUGGUGUUGGUAUAAAAAGCAGGCUUACAUCAGCAAGGGAUGAUUGUCGUCUCAUGCGAUCCUGGGAGAUGGCAGAAGUCCCGGGACACAUGGAGUGUGGGCUCUUUCGGAGGCUGUUGGAUCCCUCCUGAAUGUAAGUGAUUCCUUCUUAAAGCAUGCUGAUUUUCCUCAUUUGCAGGGGCAAGGACUGGAUCGAUGAUGACUUCCAUAUGUACAUUCCUUGGAAAGCUGAACAAAAUGAGUGAAAACUCUAUACCGUCAUCCUCGUCGAACUGAGGUCCAGCAUACUGCUCAUCAGGGGCUAGAGAGAGGGACAACAUCCGUUUGUUGACAAGGGCUGUGUCAACACUUGGGAUGGGGUCGUCUUUGGGUGAAGUGGAGUAGCUGGGCAUUUUGGACUUCUGUGGCUGAGAGACAGCUUAGUUGAAGCACUUCCCUCUGCGCAGCUAUGUGUGUCCUUGAUUCAAACUCCUUGGCUCCUGCACUCCCCAGAGGAAGACAGUGGCUUCUGCAUGGGGACACCACACAAUGUUGUUCCUGUGCACUUCUUUGGUUCACUUUCACCCUCAUUUGGGGACGUGGCAGUUCCCAUGGUGUUUAGGUAGCAUUGAGGGCAGGCAGUCCUCAGGAGGAUGUUGAUGCUGAUUUGCUUUCUGCAGAGGAGCCAGAGAGGGUAUCCAUGUUGAACUUGUAUAUCCAUAGGAGGAAACCAGUCCCAUGGCCCCUGAAGGGUCCUGGCAGUGGGAAGGGGAGAGGUCUGCAUGUGCAUGUACUGGACAGCAUAUUCCAUGUGGGUCAUGGAGUGAUGACUGUGGGCCUCUUUCGGGCAUUGUAGCAGGCCCCCAUUUCAUUUCAUGAUGACCUCGGGGUGCUGGGACAGGAAUGUGAUUGCGGGUCCACGUGCUUCUGCAACUCCUCAGACUGACUUGGUUUGGAAGGUCUGUGUUCAGGACCCUCUGUGAGAUGCUUGUCUCCAUUAGGCAUUUGAGCUUAUAUCGGCCCAGGGUUUCUACCUAUCGUAGGUUGUGCAUACUUUGCCUCUGAACCACUCAGGCACCUCGAUGCAGUCAACGUGCCCGAUUAUAAGAGUGUGACUUCCCAUAUCCUGGUGAUCUCUACUCGGAAACAUGGUCCAGGAAGGUCUCUGUGCUUAAAUACCUUAGUAGCUCGUGAUGUUAGGUUAUUUUCUAAUUCCUCCUAAUUCUUCCCAGGAGUCUUCUUUGUGAAAUAGUCAUCUUGUUGUAGGACAGGGCUGGUAUCCACAGGCAGUGAUGCAUAGGUUUUGCACUGCGCGGCCAUGUUCAAAGGCAAGUGCCUUAAAAUGUAUGGUGUUCUCAGCCACAGUGCCUUAGAAGCCAUGUGGGAUUCAGUGUGUCUGGUGGUCCUCUGAGCUGCACCUGUGAGGAAGACGCUGAGGUAGAGGUUAAGUUGUUAUUGAACGUUUUUCUCAAUCUGAAAAGUGUUCAAGCAGCCCAGGGUGAAAAGUCUUCAAGACUGAAGGAAAAUUGCCUUUUGUACUGGAAGAGUUUUUCCCCAAAACUCUCCUCAUUUAAAUAGCCCUGUGGCUUGUGUCUUCUCUGAUGACCAAGAGGAGGGCUUUUGAGUCAGUGAUGGCAAAUGAGUGGUUUUGAGAGAGUUCUUACACUUAGGGCUCUGUAGCUUGAUGGUGCCUUCAAAAUUAACACGUGCCUGCUAUCUUCAUUCCUGGGUAGACCCAUACACCCAUCCCAAAAGGGGAGUAGCCUGUGGGAAGCACAUAUGGGAUAUACCACAGUGAGUCGAGUGGAAUGGCCCUUUUGACAUGUGUACCUGCCUCCCGUUCUUAAGCACACCCGUUUUUCCUCUGCACUUCCCAGGUGUUGUGGCCAUGGAAGUAAGGCCAGUGGCUACGAGGGACAGUCUUCAUCUUGGGAGAUCCCUAGAGAGGGCAGGGAGCCCCUUGACAUGUGGAAUGUGAUCUCUGUUGGGUGCUGGUGGAUCCCACAGGUGGUCUGGCAUGGAAGAAGGCCAGAGGCUGCGAUGGAUCAUCUUUGUCUUGGGAGAUUCCUGGAGAUGGUGGGGAGCCCCUGGGCACGUGCAGCAUAUGUGGCGUGGGCUUCUUCAGGUGCUGGUGGAUCCCUCAGGAUGGUAAAUGUCCAUUUUCCAAAAUCUUCUGAUAUUCCAUCUUUGUAGGUACAAAGACUGUGCAUGGAUCGAUGAUGACUUUUAUACAUGCAUUCCUUGGAAAGCUGAACAAAAUGAGUGAAAACUCUAUACCGUCAUCUUCGUUGAACUGAGGUCCAGCACAUUGCUCCAACAGUGGGUAGAUAGAGAGGGAAAACUUCCAUUUGUUGACGCAGGUUCCAUUGAGGGGUUUGUCCAGGCUUAGGAUGGGGUCCCCUUUGGGCAAAGGGAGUCACAGGGGAGUGCGGCCUCCUGUGCACAGGAGAUUCCUUGUGUGAAGGAUUUACCUCUGUGAGAGCAGGGUAGCACACAUAACUAUGCAGGAGCAGGUGAAUGUGCAGGUGGCACAGGAAGAGUUAGAUGGCAGCCUGUCUCUGCACAGCGAGGUUUGACUUGUCCUAGCUCUGCAUUCCCUCAUCCCUUAGAGGAAGUUGGUUUCUUCAGAAGACUUAAAUUUGUGGAAUUCAGUAGAAUAUUAUCCACAUAAUGUUCCCAGUGAAUGCUAGGCAUAUCACCCAAGAUGGCCAGGCCUCUGGCCAUAAACCAUAGUAAAUAGUAGGGUGUGCAUAUAUCCAUUAGGGAGAACCUGAAAGGUCCUUUUUUGGCCCUCCAAGGUGAAUGCCUGCAAAAGCAAGCGAAGCACGCUAUCUGCCUGCAUGAGCCCCAUGUACCUGGCGUGGCCUGUGCUCCUCACCGUGUGUCCCACUUCUGCUGCCCCUUCGCCUUGCCAGGUGGAGUCUGACUGAUUUUUUGCCACUGCUGCCACCACAGGCCACCUGGAGCCCCAGCCAGUUUGAGGAAAGUGGCUCUGCUUGAUUUUCCUUUUUUCUUUUUUUUUCCUCUUUUUUUCUCCAUUUCUGACUUCAGCAGGUGGGACUUGGAGCUUCUGCUUCUGCAGCCACAGAAGACUCCCCAGUUUGGAGGGCUGUGGUUGUGGGCUCCCUAAGCAUCUCUCUGCAGAGCCUCUUUGUUUUCCAUUUUACCCACCAUGUCAAUAAUUUAACACAGUGGCGGAGGAGUUCAUGUCUCUUCCUAUUUGUCAUUACUCUUCUAACUUUCACAGCUGUACUCGGCUACUGGUCAGAAUAAGAGAAAAAGCAGUGGAACCAGGAGGAUCCUACAAGAAAUAUUCCAUUUCACUUUUGUUUGUGCAUAUACCUUUUCUGUUUAAAUGUGGACUUCGAUUUGAUAUGCUUCCAGUGCAGACACAGAUCCCAUAUGUAAGAGAGUAUGGAGUUGCAUAGAAAGAAGACUUGUCAUUUUCCUGUACUGUUGGUGUUCUAAUCUGUCUUCGUGGUUUUUGCCUCUUCUGGCUUUAGAAGAUACACCAACAUGGUUUUGCAACAUAGCCUCUUCUUAUUUUAGUAAGGGACCAAAUGUGCAUGUCAGUAACAGGUGUUACCUUGAAUUGGGAUCAGUGCUUGUGUGACUAUAUUCAGUGAUGUCAUUUUCUGUCACACUCAAGUCACAAAAUAUUUAACCACUUAUUUUUUUAUCUCUGGAGGAAUAAUCCAAAAGAUUGUACUGGUAAAGCCAGAACAAUUUCCAAUUAUGCUAAUUAUUUGUAUAAUACUUAGUUGGCUUUAUCUGUGGUUUGUUGGCUUAUUUUCCUGUAGCUUUUCAAGGUUUUUCUAUGAGUUCUGUUAAAGAGUCUGAAAAUGGAGCGUAGAAGACAUGCUUCGAUUUCCAGGAUGGUUGUGUUUUCCAGAGAGGCGGAGGUAAACCACUGGCGCAGCCCUGCCUCCCACAGAUAAUUCCGGGUGCAGUGUUUCAUAUCUAGACUUGGACUUCUAUCCUACCAUACUUCUUUGUGUGCAGUUCAUUGUGGAACCAGCACAGAUUUUCAUACGAAAGUUAUUUCUUUUUAACCUCAAAAAGUGACAGAAUGGAGUGUAUCAUGAAAAAGUCUGACAUCAAAACCUCAAAAUGUGAUAUUGAUUGGGUGAGAUAGAAUUCCAUGGAAUUUCAUUGCCAAACCAGUGAAGUGCUAAUUUUGACAUUUGUACCAGCUAACGUAGCUGUGAAGAAACACACCAAUACACUUCUAAGGACAGCAUAGACCAAGAUCUAGGUUUCAUAUGGAUGAAUUUAUUCUUCCCUUUGAGGCAAGACAAGAAGGAAAGAAAGUAUUGGGAAUAAUGCUGCCCUCCCAUCCUCAAGGGCCAGUGGGAACUCUAAUAUUGAUUGGGUGAGAUACAAUUCCAUGGAAUUUUACCACUGAACCAGUGGAGGGCUAAUUUUGUCAUUUGUACCAGUUAACUAACUUGGGAGGAAACAGAACAACACACUCCUGAGAUUGGUUUUCACAGAAUUCCAUGGACUUUAACUGCUGAACCAAUGAUGCACUGAUUUUGUCACUUGUACCAGCUAACGCAUCUGGGAGGCAACAAAACAAUACUCUCCUGAGGUUAAUGUGGACCAAAAACUAGAUUUCAUAUAAAAGAGUUUAUUCCUUCUACUUGAGGUGUGACAUGAAGGAAAGUAAUGGAAAUAAUUCUGCCCUCCCAUUCUCAAGGGCCAGGGGGAAUUCAAAUAUUGAACGGAAGUGAUUUUGGAAUUGCAUGGAAUUCUCACUGCCAUCCCAAAGAAAUGCUGAUCUUGUCACUCUUACCUGUUUCAUUCCCUGGGGGCAGAACAAAAGGACGCACUCCAAAGAUCGGCAUGAACCAAGAACUGGGUUUCAUAUAAAAUAUUUUAUUCUGUCCUCUUGAGAUGUGACAUGAGAAAAGUAUUGAGAAUACUUCUAUCACCUCAUCUUCAAGAAUCCGUAGGAAUUCUCCCAUGGUGGACUUUACGGUUAACCUGAACAGGUCUUGGAAAAAGGACUUUAAACAUUCUCCUGUUCUGUGGAAUAAGUAUACUUUUUUCUGGACAUACACCUUGUCAGUGAGUUCCAUGUGAUACUAGAGUUGCAUAGAUUUUUAACCUUUACGCCAAUGAAGAUCUGAGGCAAACAUUGCCCCUUUUUUAGAAGUUUGCAUUUGUCACUGAUAACUGUAAUAAUUGAUCUUGUUGAAAAGCCUGGGAAAUGAAGAUCUGAUAUGUCACUUUUACCGGCUUCCUCAACUGAAAAAGAAUACAAUGAAACACGCUGAGAAUUUUUGUGCUUUCUCAGUCUUGCUGAUGAUCUUUCUAUGGGCCUGAAGCGUGGAGAGUGCCAGAGAGGCUGAUCCUCAGCAGUGUGGCAGAGGAAAGUUGGGUGCGACUAAGGGGUAUGCGGUGCCCACAUGCCACUGGGUCCUCAGCAGUACCACCUGAUUGGAAGUGAUAUUGGUGGAAGACAACAUUUUGCCGCUUGGAAUUCUCACCUCCACACCAAAGAAGUACUGUUUUUGUCAUUUGCACCAGCUUCUUUCUCCAGGAAAGAUCAAAACGAUGCACUGCAAGUGUGAUUGGUCCAGAUAGCUGCCUUAUCCAACUGCCUCCUUUGGACCACUUCAUCAUGGGACAGCUUGAUGCAAUCUACUUGACAAGACCCUGGAACCCCACACCCCUCAUGGAACCAGUGUCCACCUCCCAGUCACAGUGUGACCCCAGGGAACUCUUGCCUGCUUGCUUUAAACCCACCACUUAAAAGUCUCCACAGAAAACCUGUUUGAAUAGUACCCUUGACCCAAUAAGGGCAUUGGCCCCUGGGUGUCUCUCUCUCUCUCUCUCUCUCUCUCUCCCUCUCUCUCCCUCUCUCUCUCUCGCUCCCUGACCUCUGCGUGUGGACUCCAGGCAUGCCAUAUACCCCUCAGGACCUGAAGCAAAAGAAUGAAUUAAAGAAAACUCCAGAGAAUGAGCUGACAACCUACUCCCUGGUCAGUGGCUCUCCAUGCCUACCUGUGGUCUCUUGGACACCCUUGCAGAAGAUGACUUCCUGGGAACUCUUCUGGGAGUGAAUGUUAUCAGCAAAUUCCCAAAACAACACCCCUUAGACAAAAAGCCUCCUCACCUAUGCAUUGCCUAGACCACCCACUAAAGGUGAUGGCCACAAAGAGGUGGAUUUGUUGAGUUGGUGCCAUUCCUUCUACUGCCAGCUUCACCAAAACAAUGACACAGUCUUCCUUCCGCAUGGAGACUCUUCUCUUUCCUGUGUUGCAGUGGAUGCCUCCUGCAGAUAAGAAAUGCUUAACUGAGAAAUGCUCAUGUUGGGAUAUCAUCGAUGAGACUUUAAUUUGGGCAUGGUGACUGUUUCCCUUGCUGCCACUUGACUCAAUCCCAGGAGCCUCAGUAGAGGAUAUAAUAUUACACAAGAUGCUCAAAAUGGUGGAAUUGCUCAGUGCUCCCAUAAAUAUACAUUUAUAAUUUUCAUUUGCCACAUGGUAAACUGAAAAAUACAGACUAUAUUAAAAAGAAACUGCAUGAUUUUUUUUCAAAAAUUCAAAGCAUAUUUAAAUAAUAUAUAAAUUAAAUGCCCUCCUCUCUUCCAAUUCUGUCCCUAUAGUUUUCCUCUAUUAAGUGAACUACAUGCAUUCUUUUAGUGGAUAGAUGCACACAAACACACAAGCCAUUAUGGGGAAGGAUCCACGUGUGUGGCCAUAUUGUAACACAUUUUUCUGCAAAUCACCUCUUUCAUUUAACAGCCCUUAUUCAAUGGCCUUUUUCUUUUUCAGUAGUACAUACACAUCUGUGUCAUUUGUUGAAUGACGACAUGAAUGUUUUGUAGAUAAAAUAUAAUUAAAUGUUUUAAGCAUUUCUCACUCAUAGAUAUUUAUGUUAGCACCAAAUUUCUGUGCAAUGAACCUCCCUAUAUAUCAGUAAUUUUGCAUUUGUCUAUAAUAUCAUAAUAAAUUACUUAUCAGUUGAAUUACUGGGAUUAAGUAUGUGCACACUUUAUAUUUAUAUUUUGAAAAUUAUUGCAAGAUUGCCUUCAAAAAUGUGGUUAACAACUUUAUCUUCAAAUGGCAAUGAAUGAGAUUGCCAGCUUUCCUACAGCCUCACAGACAAUGGAUUUUAUAAAUAUUUAACAUUUUUGCCAAUGUGAUCACCCAAACUAUUGUCUUAAAUUGUAUCUCUUUUGUUUUUGAGUUUGGUCAUUUUUUCAUGUUUAUUAGCCAUCUGUAUUUUUUAAUUUCUUCUUUAUGUCCAAUUUUGUGGGUGGGAGGAGGAUUUAGUCUCUUCCUGAUUUCGAAGAGCUCAUUUACUAUUUCGGGAAAUAAGAUUUGGAUUGUCAACCAUUAUAGCUAUUUUUUACACACUUUUCAACUUUGUUUUUGUUAUAAGAAUGUGUAUGAUUGUUACAUGUCCAAGUAUAACCAUGUUCGCUUUUAUGGCUUCUGAGUUUCAUGUCAUUUUUGGAAAGAUAUAUAUAUUGAGUCCAUAAAACCCUUCACCUAUGUUAAAUUCUAAUUCUUUUGUGUUUUUUUAAUUCAAAUUCUUAAAUCAUGAGAAAUUUUUUUGUUUUGAAAUCUUAAAGUUGCCAAGUUACUUGCCAUUACUUGCGAUUAUUUGCCAAUAAUUGCCCAUUUAUCUGUACCGCCAUCUUGCGCAUAUGCUGUACUCUCAUCUGUGACUGGCUCCAUUUUUGUUCUGUGGAUUUGUGUGUCUCUUCUUCUGCCUCCUGUCUCGUGUCUGCUCGUUGGAAGAAAUUACAGUUUAGACUGCAAUUUCAUCAACUUUAAUAAAUCAAUUGAGGGGAGAAUUGGUUUUUAAAAAUAUUAAGUAAGUCUUCGUAUCCAAGGACAAGGUAUGUCUUUUCUUAUUCAAUAAUUUUAAUUACUGUUAAUAUUUUCACUGUGGUGAUGGGAGUUUUUCUUUUAAUUUAUUUUCUUGUUCAUUUUUUGUAUCUAAAGUUUUUGUUUUGUUUUGUUUUGGGGGUAAGUUGUCACCUUACUGUUUCUUGUUGCUUUUCAGAUUUUUUCAAAGUAUAGACUAAAUCCUUCACAAAUAUUUAAAGUUUUUAUUUUCCCCCUUCAUAUUGAUCCUGAUUUUAGUUAUGUUGACAAAGUCCACAGACUGUUACUAUCAGAACACUUGAACAGUUAUGGAAAUAUUACCUACCCUUGAUUUAAUCAGAGUUUAAUGGUAUGCUUCUUUGGUUUGACUGGCACAUUGUCGCUGGUCAUUUCCUCCCAAAGACCACCAGAAAGAGCUAUGAUCAAGCAAAGCUGAGUUUGUUAAACUUACCUGCAGCAAGGGAAAACACCACCUUGAUAGGGUUUAAUAAUGUUUCAAAAUCAAGAAAUGAGGCUUUGGGGUCUGGGCAGGGAACUAAUUAGAAAUGGGCAAAAUUUGUCAUGCAAUACCUUGUGGGAAAGUGAGAUGAGGUUCUUAAUGUGAGUAUUGAUGGUGAAAUCAUUUUCUAGGUGAGCUGUUUGCCUAUAUAAAGAUGUUAUCAAUGACAGAAGAACUAUUUGCCUAGAUAAACAAACUGAAUUUAUUUAUUGGUUUACAGUUUUAUCUUGCUGGGCAGGACUCUGCUGGGGGUGGUAUCAGGUCUUAUUCCCAAUAGGUAAGUUAUUUGGAUAUGGGUGGUCUUAAUCAUCAAUGUGUAAAAUGCUGAUUUUAAGUGCGAAAUACUUUGUCUACCAUGUUAGGAAAGUCUGCCACCUUUUAUCUUUUUUAAGGAAUUUUAAUCAAAACCAGGUGGUAGAUAUAAUCAAAUUGUUUUGCAGAAUCAAUUUUCCUGUUCUCUUUAAAGACUUUUAUCACUGUGAAUUAAUUUACUAUUAUUGCAACUUCCUUUAAUUCCUUGAAUGAACAGACCCUACUGGUUUUAAAAAUGUUUUAUUCUUUUAAUUUACUACUUAAUUGUGGGUAUUUUAAUUUGAUUUGGAAUUUUUACAAGUAUACAACUAAGUGAAAUUGAUCUGUGAUUUUUCUUUUUUGUGCUAUUUUUGUCAUGUUUUGAUAUCAGAUAUUCUGGUUGUGUUAAAAUAAUUUUGAGGAUUUUCUUCUUAUACUGUGUUCUAGAGUGGGUAAAAAAGCCCUAGUCUCACUAUCAGUGUUUAAGUGAACACAUCAGUGACAUCAUCUGGACUCUCCUUUGUUUUUGCUGGUUUGGAGUUAGGACAUCUAGAAGUUUUUUUCUUUUUUUCCUUUUUUUGUAUGGUUAUUGCUUGUUCUUUGUUUUGUGUCAAAUUUAACCUGUUUUCUCUUAGCAAAUCACAGCUCAUGCAGAUUUUCAAACACAUUAGCCUUGUUAUACAAAGUGUUCUUUCAUCAUUCUAUUAAAUUUCCAUUUUCAUUCCAGUUAUAGUUAUUUCUGCUGUGCCUUUGUUAAUGAAUAAGUUUAAACAGUGGAUGUUUAGCAUCACUAGCCUUCCCCUUCCAUCUCCCUUAAUCAGGACCUUGGUAUAAUUUAUCAGGUAUUUUUUAAGGUUCUAAUUUACUUAUAUAUAUUGUUUCUGUAUUCUUUUGUUUCUUUUCUUAAUAAAUUCUUAAA
This 9720-nucleotide long non-coding RNA is filed under the name Homo sapiens (human). Its description in RNAcentral is "small nucleolar RNA host gene 14". The stretch from base 378 to 469 matches the Rfam family "Small nucleolar RNA SNORD116". The record is from RNAcentral. Lineage: Eukaryota; Metazoa; Chordata; Mammalia; Primates; Hominidae.